GUGGGCAUCUUGGUAGAUAGGGAUCUAAGGGAGUCCGUGGUCGAGGUUAGGCGAGUGAAUGAUAGGUUAAUGUCUAUUAAGUUGGUUAUUGUUGCGUCCUCAACGUCAUAAGCGCCUACGCGCCGCAAUCGGGCUUAGACGAGGAGGCAAAAAUGCGUUUUUGGGAGGACUUAGAUGAUUUGGUGAGUAGUAUUCCCUAAUCUGAGAAGUUAGUUAUUGGAGGGCACUUUAAUGGUCAUAUUGGG
Molecule: long non-coding RNA, 245 nt
Filed under: Nicotiana benthamiana
Lineage: Eukaryota; Viridiplantae; Streptophyta; Magnoliopsida; Solanales; Solanaceae
Description: long non-coding RNA (NBEN_LNC018776)
Source: RNAcentral